UACAGAGACUGCAAGCGUUAUUCGGAUUCACUGGGCGUAAAGGGUGCGCAGGCGGCCGUGUGUGUGAGGCGUGAAAGCCCGGGGCUUAACCCCGGAAUUGCACCUCAAACUACACGGCUAGAGCAUUGGAGAGGGUAACGGAAUUCACGGUGUAGCAGUGAAAUGCGUAGAUAUCAUGAGGAAUACCAGAGGCGAAGGCGGCUACCUGGACAAUUGCUGACGCUCAGGCACGAAAGCGUGGGGAGCAAAAGGG
This 253-nucleotide ribosomal RNA is filed under the name uncultured bacterium. RNAcentral describes it as "partial 16S ribosomal RNA". It matches the Rfam family "Bacterial small subunit ribosomal RNA", at positions 524 to 776 of the family's 1533-position model. The record is from RNAcentral.